Molecule: non-coding RNA, 73 nt
Organism: Hippopotamus amphibius kiboko
Lineage: Eukaryota; Metazoa; Chordata; Mammalia; Artiodactyla; Hippopotamidae
Source: the annotation of a RefSeq genome assembly
UCCCUGGUGGUCCAGUGGUUAAGACGCUGUGCUAGCAAUGCAGGGGGCUCAGGUUCCAUCCCUGGUCAGGGAA